AUUUACACCUACAUACAGUGUUUUUUGUUAUGAUGUCACACAUCAUAACAAAAUAACUGCAUGUAAAAGGAGUGAGGCAGGCUUUCUUCAUCCUUUGUCCCUCCUCCUUUCACGAGUUCUGUUUUAAAUAGAGAGCAAGCUUAGUUGGGAGAAGAGUAUCUACUUCUUGAACGCACCUGUGACAUCCAUUAGUCAGACUGUGACAACCACUUGUUCAAGGAGAACAGCAACAUAUUUUCUUACUUCGUGUUCUUCUGAGAUCCAAAAUUACAGCAAUGGACAAUCGAAGCAGAGUUGUGUUCGCAGUCGUCAUGGUAAUGGCGUGCAUGGGAAUGAGAGCUGAGGCACAGAUCUCCACAACAGCUCCAAAUACAACAAAUACAACUCUUUCACUAAACAUCUCAAGGGCAAAUUGUGGAAACAAACAGUUCUGUGCUGCUCAGCCAGCAGGCUGUGACCCAUCUGUGUCUGGAUCCUGUUUCUUCGUCUCAACCAGUCAAAUCUCCGGACAGAACAUUUCCUUCCAGCUUCAAGGACAAUCCAGUGGCUACGUCGCUGUAGGGUUGUCCAGAACCAUUAACACGGGACAAAAUGACUCUGUCUAUGUGUGUGCUAAAAACAACGACAACAUCACUGUCAAUUUCUCUUCCAAUCUUUACAACAACGGAACUCUGACUCUGAACAACAUGCUGCCCUCUAACCUGCUGAAGGGCUCAAUCAGUAAUCUGACCAUCCAGUGCAUCUUCUCUGCUACAGUCCCCGAUGCUACUUCCCCCAGGAGCAGCAGUACCUCCUUUUUCAUUUCCAUCUACAACGGGACCGUGUCUAAUGGACUCCUAGGUAGUCCUAAGGCUAUCUUUACAAGCACUGAAGCCGUGGACCUGUCCAACAGCAAUGCGACCAACAGCAACAGUUCUACAACAGCCUCACCAACCACCACAGCUAACCACGCUUUUGGUCUACAACGCACCCUGUCUCAAGCUCUGCUGAUCCUGCUUGGUGGACUAGUUUUCAUCAUGCUGUAAUGUGGAUCUAAGUAGUAAACCACUUCACAUUCAGGAAUCCUGGACCUCUAUGGUUCCUGAAGCCAACCAGGCUGGGUUCCCAAGAAUGAAACUCCUUCUGAGCAGGGGUAGUAAGACAUUAGCCUACAGAAUUAAUCCAGUAAUAUAAGUUUAAUGUUGUGUUUAUAAGCAAGGGCUUUUCAGGUACAUUUAGCAUUGUUCAACCUCAUUACCUCCAGGAUUACAUAUACACGUGUUACAUUUUGUGACCACAAAACAUAAAAGCCUAGAUUAUAUUUAUGUUGUGUUGAGAAAAUGAAUGAGGUAUACACCUAAAACAUCCACCAUGUGUAAGUUAUUUACUUGAGCCCAGUCAUCUUUUACUUCAUCUUGGCUGAUGUCAAGUUAUGAAGGAGGACAAUUUUUCUUUUUUAUAGAUACUAUCUAGGCAUAUUCGUGAACAGUGGCGGCUGCUGGUCUUUCAAAGAGUGGAAGCUCAUUUUCGGCCUACAUUAUAACUGUAACGAUGUUCUUGUGGUGUAGUGUUGGCAAUGAACCAGGCGCUGGCAUAUAUCAGUUCGUGGGUUUUAAUAAACAACAAACAAACCAAACACGAACGGAAAACGAUAACUAAUCUACCGAAUGAAAAUAAAGUGCGGAACAACGCGUCUUAACAGCUAACAUUCAAACAGUACAUCAACACCACUCACCAACACACGAACAGGCAAAACAACAACAAUGAUCCACAAUGUGGGGAGCAGAGGGGAAACAUUUAUACACAUACAAAUGAUGUCAAUUGGGACCUGGUGUGAAAGAUUGGAGACAUGUGACAGUCCGGGAUGUGUUCGUGUGAUAUGGGAACUUGAGAAUAUAUGGCACGGUGGCGCUGCUGCUAACCGCACCAUGACAAUAACCCUCUGAUGGUCUUCAUUUGUAGUGACACUCGGGGUCUUUGGGGUCUUUUGGACCCAAGACAAUGGCAUAACAUUUUUUAACAGAACAAUAUAUAUAUUUUUUUUUUUACAAAUUUAAAUUUACUCUGUUUAUUAAUUUUUUACUUAACAUUUGUGCAGUUUUUGGAGGAUUUAUGAUAUCUUAAACAUUUCUAUGAAUACAUAAAUAUUUAUUUAAAUAGGUUUUUUACAAAAAUGCAUUUUACAUAUAUUUCACUUCAUAAAAGACCCAUUUAUGAAUGAAUUAACAAAAAAAUAUAUUAAACUUUGUGAAACUUAUACAAGGAUUGUGGUGUAGCCUAUAAUUGUGUGAAAUGUAUGAUGCAAAUCGGCUAGCAAUUUCGCCAAACAAAUAUCAAGAAAUAUUGCAGCAGUUUGUCUUUUCGAAUACAUUUGAGAAAUCCGCGAUGGGUCUGAGCUCAAAACAGCUUCAGUGACUUCUUAUACACUCACCUAAAUUAUUAUUAGAAACACCUGUUAAAUUUCUCAUUAAUGCAAUUAUCUAAUCAACCAAUCACAUGGCAGUUGCUUCAAUGCAUUUAGGGGUGUGGUCCUGGUCAAGACAAUCUCCUGAACUCCAAACUGAAUGUCAGAAUGGGAAAGGAAGGUGAUUUAAGCAAUUUUGAGUGUGGCAUGGUUGUUGGUGCCAGACGGGCCGGUCGGAGUAUUUCACAAUCUGCUCAGUUACUGGGAUUUUCACGCACAACCAUUUCUAGGGUUUACAAAGAAUGGUGUGACAAGGGAAAAACAUCCAGUAUGCGGCAGUCCUGUGGGCGAAAAUGCCUUGUUGAUGCUAGAGGUCAGAGGAGAAUGGGCUGACUGAUUCAAGCUGAUAGAAGAGCAACUUUGACUGAAAUAACCACUCGUUACAACCGAGGUAUGCAGCAAAGCAUUUGUGAAGCCACAACACGCACAACCUUGAGGCGGAUGGGCUACAACAGCAGAAGACCCCACCGGGUACCACUCAUCUCCACUACAAAUAGGAAAAAGAGGCUACAAUUUGCACAAGCUCACCAAAACUGGAAGAAUGUUGCCUGGUCUGAUGAGUCUCGAUUUCGGUUGAGACAUUCAGAUGGUAUAGUCAGAAUUUGGCGUAAACAGAAUGAGAACAUGGAUCCAUCAUGCCUUUUUACCACUGUGCAGGCUGGUGGUGGUGUAAGGGUGUGGGGGAUGUUUUCUUGGCCCCUUAAUGCCAAUUGGGCAUUGUUUAAAUGCCACGGCCUACCUGAGCAUUGUUUCUGACCAUGUCCAUCCCUUUAUGACCACCAUGUACCCAUCCUCUGAUGGCUACUUCCAGCAGGAUAAUGCACCAUGUCAUAAAGCUCGAAUCAUUUCAAAUUGGUUUCUUGAACAUGACAAUGAGUUCACUGUACUGAAAUGGCCCCCACAGUCAGCAGAUCUCAACCCAAUAGAGCAUCUUUGGGAUGUGGUGGAACGGGAGCUUCGUGCCCUGGAUGUGCAUCCCACAAAUCUCCAUCAACUGCAAGAUGCUAUCCUAUCAAUAUGGGCCAACAUUUCUAAAGAAUGCUUUCAGCACUUUGUUGAAUCAAUGCCACGUAGAAUUAAGGCAGUUCUGAAGGCGAAAGGGGGUCAAACAGUAUUAGUAUGGGGUUUCUAAUAAUCCUUUAGUUGAGUGUAGUACAGACCGCUAUCAGUCAAAAGGAGAUGCAGUUUGACAGACCGUCAGAUCCUCCAAUUAUCACGCGGAAGCCCACUCCUCAUUCACACCCAGAGACGCUGAGUGUCCAUGGGCAGGACAUAAUCGCAGCAUUUAUCCAAUCACUGUCUACUUUCGGAGCACUGAAAAAAACUGUUCUAAGCAGCCCCAUUGAAGUCAAUGGACGCUCGGCUUCAACAGGGAAAUGCACUGUGACGCUGCGGGAUUGUAUGAGAAGAAAAUCGAGUCAGCCGACCUGUAGCUGAUUCUGAACUAACUAGUUUUAAAGAUGAACGUGUUAUAACACAUUUUUUGUCAUUAAAAUAUUUACACAAUAGUACAUAUUUGACCAUAAUUUUUUUGGACAUUAUAGGGGAAGCCGAGCUUCCCUUGCAAUCUUAAAGAAAUCCCCACUGUUCGUGAAGCCAUCCCUACACAGUAUGAGUUCCUAUGGGGAUCACGGCCUGUAUGAGGCGAAUGUAAGUUCUCACCAAACCUGACCACUGCUGACUAAGCGCGUAUGUAUACAUUUCCAUAAAAAGUUAUUACUAGAAUCAUAUGGCUGAUUUUUGCUAAUAUCUAGGUAUUCUCAGUCCUGUACAUAUUUUGUGUCCCUAUGGGGAUAACAGCCUGCGUGAGAGAAAUAUUAGAGUGGAACCAAUUGGCCACUGCUGACUGAUCACAUAGUGUACAUUUCCAUAAAUAUCCAAAAAAGUAAUCACUAGAAUCAUACGGCUGACUUUAGCUAACGUCUCGCCUGGUAUAUUUGGACCAAAUCUGUCACCAUUACGCAUUGGAUAAUCCAAGUCUUCAUUUGUUUAUGAUGCCCAAUCAAAAACAGCGCUUCGACUAUGUUAAUCACGACUGGAGACAUGACCUCUACAACGCAGGAGUGCUGGGAUGUCAUAGGGGUCAGUCCCAUAGUGACAGUACACAACAUGGCGCAUGCCACAGGUCACCGGUCAAUAAUGGCGAUUACCAACGUAGUUUUCAUACCGUUAAUGCAAGAUAGCUCUUUGUUUUCCACCCAAAACAUUUUAGAACAUAUUUGAUCAUAACCAAAAAGCAGAGGAAAGGUUAUUCUGUCCAGGAACACUUUCUACCAGGCGACGCGAAUGACCAUUCAACUCAGAUGGGCGACUGUGUCAACACCCGUCCAGAUUACAUGUAAGUACAUCGCUGUGUAUGAUGUAUAUUGCUGUAUUAUGUUGUUUGUAUUAUAAAUGUGAUAUAAAAAUGUCCUUCUGUAUACUAUGGGGAUGGUCU
Long non-coding RNA from Esox lucius (northern pike), 4880 nucleotides. Lineage: Eukaryota; Metazoa; Chordata; Actinopteri; Esociformes; Esocidae. The record is from Ensembl.